AUGCUCUUCCCACCGCAUCGCCUCCUCCCUUUCGCCUCCGCUUUCAAUCCCUAUCCCCCCUACUCCCAUGCUCUCCCCGCAGAUCAGAGCCCCGCCGGUGAGGUCUUCACAGCCGAGGUCGAGGAGAAGGGAAGAACCACGGUGGGAGGAAGGAGCAGCGAGGCCAGAGCGGUCACAUCAUGGUGGAGUGGACCUGCAGGGGAGAGGAAGGAGGCCGGCGAGAGUGGGAAGGAUUGGUGGGUUCUCUACUGAUGGUGUUGGAGAUUGCAAGGAUUGUUCAAUCUGGUUUCAGGAGUGUGUGCUGCUCCUAUAAGUUAACUCAGGUAUGUACAAGCACCUCUGGUAUACCCUCGAGAAAGAAAGCGAAUGAUAAAUGGAGGCCAAGGAUGGUUGCCGUUUUUUGUAUAUCGUGAUGGCUUCAACCCUGAAAUAUGCCCAGCUGGUCUGAAACAAGAACAGAAGGGAGCCUGAGAACACUCAGCUUGCGCCAUGGAUAGCCAAAUAUUUUUCAAAGUACUGCAGACCACCUGUGUUUGCUAAACAAACUGGAUAGGUU
Molecule: long non-coding RNA, 556 nt
Organism: Triticum aestivum (bread wheat)
Lineage: Eukaryota; Viridiplantae; Streptophyta; Magnoliopsida; Poales; Poaceae
Exons: 3
Source: RefSeq, a predicted model, not a curated record